CACCCAUCGUCUCUGUGUAUUAAAACCCUAGAGUGAAAUUCCGUGUCUAAAUUGUUCAAUCUCGUGUUUUUAAAUGUUGCUGGUUGAUUCAGUUGUUUAACCUAAUUGUUUCCUCUAAUUUCUGAGAGAACAUGGGAAGAGAAGAAAUUUAAAUCGUCGACUAGAUUUUUCAUUAUUUAGGGGCUGGAAAAUUAAAACCUUUAUUAUACUGAGCUUGGUGAUACAACUAUGUUGAGCGUUUUGUAUAUUCAUUUUUCACAAUUUGUGCUAUAGUGAAAAAACUAAAAUGAAAGAGGCCAGAGGAAGUUUUACAGUGAUUUUCCUUUUUCUUUACGCAAAUAGAGAUAAAUUAAGGAAUACCUGUCAGAAUGCGGGAAUGCCACCGUAUAGCGAGGAAGUAUAAAGAGAGCACCACAGAAUGAAGAGACAAAAUAAACAGGAACUACUUCCUAGUCCUAGCUUAAACUUUCAAUGAAAUCCAACAAGGGGCAAUUACCACCCCUAAUGGGAUUUUCGACCAUUUCUCCUUAAAAUCGCAAGUCAUUCCUGCUCUCCCCAAAUGCACCAGAACAAGCAGAGAUGAGCCAUUCUCCACACUUUUCUCCUCCUCUAAUCCAGCUUUCAAGCAGGCAGCCCUAGAAGAAGAGAUUAUGCCCUGAAGAACUCACUACAAUCCAAAAAUUGUGAAUAAGAGAUCCCACUGCAAAAGGGCUUUGUCAUAGGAAAUAAGAAUAUGGUUUGUUGUCUCCUAUCAAGUUUUACAUUAGCUACAUUUGUUUUGAGAGAACAGCCCUCAAAGGGAACCUCAAAUCUCCUUUGCUAGGAACUGCAGCAAGCUCACAGAAGGCAAAGAGUGGUAAAAAGAGUUCACCAUGAAACAGCCCUCUGUUGCCCUUCUUCCACAAGCUACCCACCCCUACCCUAACCAGGCUUAUGGAAUGAAUGCACUCCAGAAGGUUUAGAAGGUUUUCUAUAUGGAGACAUGGAGAAUGGGAAGAAAUAUCAUUUAGUAGGCUGGAGGGAGGUGUGGUCUCCUUUGAUUUAGGUGCUAGGUUGUUUUGUUUGUUUAAUGAAAUCGUGUUAUAAGAAUGGUUGUUGACAUAUGCUAUAUAAAAAUAAAGUUUGCGGGGAGGAGUUGUGCCUGGGAAAUAUAUGAAGUUCCUAUGGGUGUGCCAUUGAAAUGUGGAAGGAUAUUAGAAAGGAGUAGGGUGGUUUUUCCAAAUUUGUGGUUUUUGAGGUUGGGUGUGCAAAAAGUGCACUUUUAGAGUAGAAUUGUGGAUCAAGUGGUGUAUAUCACUAGUAAGGUUUUUAGUUCUGGUUAAUGGUGCUCCAAUAGGCUUCUUUAAGAGUUCUAGGAGUCUAAGACAAGAAGAUCCUCUCUCACCCUUUUUGUUUGUAAUUGCUAUGGAGGCUUUUAAUUGUUUGCUCAAGGGGGCUAAGGUUGGAGGGUUCUUGGGUAAAGGUGUUAACUUUGGACCGUUUAAAGAGGAGAGGGUGGUUUUUAACAAAUAGAUGUUUCCUUUGUCUUGAAGAGGAAGAGACCAUUGACCACAUCUUUAUCCAUUGUGUCAAGACAAGAGUGUUAUGGAACCUUUUGUUCUCUUUGCUUGGUGUGCUUUGGAUACUUCCUUCCUUACUUAGAGACACGCUCUUAGAAUGGCAUGGUUCUUUUGUGGGUAAAAGGCGUAAAAAGGUGUGCGGGCAGCUCCUCUUUGCUUGUUUUGGACCGUUUGGAAGGAAAG
Vitis vinifera (wine grape) is the source of this 1742-nucleotide long non-coding RNA. RefSeq lists it as uncharacterized. The record is from RefSeq and is a predicted model, not a curated record. The transcript has 2 exons. Lineage: Eukaryota; Viridiplantae; Streptophyta; Magnoliopsida; Vitales; Vitaceae.